GGUUAUUGAUUUGCUUAUUGCACCACAUGUGUUUUUUAUUGAACAAAUUUCUUUGGUGGCGGGAGCAAUCCUACCGCCAGAGGUUAUAACUAAACCAAACUUUUUAUUUACAGUCAAACUUGAUUUAUUAUUACAAUAGUCAAAACUUUCAACAACGGAUCUCUUGGUUCUCGCAUCGAUGAAGAACGCAGCGAAAUGCGAUACGUAAUAUGAAUUGCAGAUAUUCGUGAAUCAUCGAAUCUUUGAACGCACAUUGCGCCCUUUGGUAUUCCAAAGGGCAUGCCUGUUUGAGCGUCAUUUCUCCCUCAAACCCCCGGGUUUGGUGUUGAGCAAUACGCUAGGUUUGUUUGAAAGAAUUUAACGUGGAAACUUAUUUUAAGCGACUUAGGUUUAUCCAAAAACGCUUAUUUUGCUAGUGGCCACCACAAUUUAUUUCAUAACUUUGACCUCAAAUCAGGUAGGACUACCCGCUGAACUUAAGCAUAUCAUAAGCCGAAGGAA
RNAcentral lists this ribosomal RNA (501 nucleotides) under Candida tropicalis. RNAcentral describes it as "eukaryotic LSU rRNA". The stretch from base 144 to 297 matches the Rfam family "5.8S ribosomal RNA". Lineage: Eukaryota; Fungi; Ascomycota; Pichiomycetes; Serinales; Debaryomycetaceae. The record is from RNAcentral.